Molecule: long non-coding RNA, 816 nt
Organism: Sapajus apella (tufted capuchin)
Lineage: Eukaryota; Metazoa; Chordata; Mammalia; Primates; Cebidae
Exons: 2
Source: RefSeq, a predicted model, not a curated record
CCGCCGCCGCCUCUUGCGACGUCGCUGCGUCAAGUCCAGCGCGGUCACGACUGCUUCGACGCGCGCGGGAUCCCUCCGCUGGGACAAGUAGUGCCCUGAGGCUGCCGGGGCUCUGCCUCGGCGCAGCUGGUGUCAUCUAGCAGCCGGCAGUUCCGAGCGAUUUGGGGUCCCUGUGCCUUGGAGUGGCGUCUGGAGAGUGAGGGCGGCGGAGGCUGCCCCGCAGUUGAGGACAGUAGGGAUCGUUGGUUUUGAACCCUGCCCACGGAUACCUGGGGCCCCAUGACCCCAAGGAAUGGUGCCAAAUGUCCUUCCCCGCCCCCCAACCUCCGCCACCUCACCGUAGCGACAGGCACCUUAGCCUCCUCUCCAGGAAACCUGACGCCUUUUCCGACCUGGCACACCGCGGAUUCCGGGACCCCCAACAAAGGCGCCUUGGACCUUCAGGACACCCCUCCUUUCAGAGCUUCAUGAGCCCCAGGUGCUAGACGCGUCUCUGCCGAGGCCUUUCCCGUACCUGGUCUUACUUUCCUUCUUAAGGCAAAGGAGUUGGAACUCUAAAGGCCCUUCUGAUUCUCAAGUAAAACUAUAAGGUGGUCAUCACGUGAAAGAAGAGGAAACAUAGGCUCAGUAGUUCAAGAGUGUCAGAGGCAGGAUUUGAAGCCAGAAUUGUCUGAUUCUAAGCCCUCUCUCUUGCCUACCUUCAAAGGCUCUAAACCAGCGGGACUGUUUACACCAGCGUGAGAGUCGUAAUGUCCUGGGUGAGGCACUGUGAGAAGGUGUGAUCCAAAUAUCACAAAUAAAGGGUAAAGAGACCUA